AAUUCAGGAAGCCCUGUUAAAUUUGAGAUCAACUAUGAAUAUUCUUUUAAGUAUAAGUAUGUCCCUUGCAAUAUUUGGGACAUACUUAUGCAAAAAAAGUAUUCAUUGUUUAUCUGAAAGUCAAAUAUAACUGGGUAUUUUGUAUUU
Molecule: microRNA precursor, 147 nt
Filed under: Myotis lucifugus (little brown bat)
Lineage: Eukaryota; Metazoa; Chordata; Mammalia; Chiroptera; Vespertilionidae
Description: miRNA (ENSMLUG00000020908.2)
Rfam family: mir-1302 microRNA precursor family (bases 45-96)
Source: RNAcentral